This is a long non-coding RNA of Eptesicus fuscus (big brown bat), 1399 nucleotides long. RefSeq lists it as uncharacterized. The transcript is spliced from 6 exons. The record is from RefSeq and is a predicted model, not a curated record. NCBI's taxonomy places the organism in Eukaryota, Metazoa, Chordata, Mammalia, Chiroptera, Vespertilionidae.
GAGCCGGGCAGGAAGGGCUAAGGGCAGGCCGCUGCGUCCGGCAUCCCGGCUCCGGACGAGGCAGUCACAGCACCAGCGCCCUGGCCUGCGCCCGGCUCCUGGGCGCCCGUCCUGCCGGCCGGCGGGAGGAAGCCGUGCCGGCCUUCGUGCACUUGGUGGGUGCGGGUGCUCGGGUUCUUUUAACUGAGAGCAACUGAGUGCAACAUUUCCAGCUCCCCAGUUCUCACAGAACACUUAUGUACUGGAUGAUCUCACGUUUCAAACCGCACCUCGGUAGAGUGCCUUUCUCAGCAUGGACUCGGCAGCAGGCAGCAUCCUUCUUCUAACAUUUUCACCAGAAAUGAAGAUCAAAAAGCAAGAAAAUACGGCCAAAAAUAGAAGACAAACUUAAAAUGGGAAACACUCACUAAUAUGUUUGAAGACACUAUGGAAUAAUCUAGAACAGAGGACUAAAUAUUUCACUCUAUAAUUAGAUCCGUGCAAUCAUUUUAAUGUCCCUAUUAUGCCAGGAUUUCGCGAGAUGAAUGAUUACGCUGCAGCCGUUGCCUGGAGGAGAUACAGAUAUGCAAACCGCCAUCCAUGCUCUGAGUCCAGCCCACUAUUAAAAAUUUGAAAAUUAUAGAAAAAAUUAUACAAGAUCAAAUAGCCCUCUUUGCGAAGAAGACUCUGAGAUGGAGAGGGAAGAUGCUUGGUGCCACCCCAAAGGCGGCUGCGUUCCAGCGGAGGCUGCAGCGGCCUCUAUAUAUAGAUGAGAAAGAGCCUUGGGCUGACUGGAGAUGAAAAGCACUCUGGAUGUGUAAGUCUCCGAAGAUGGCUACCGACAUAUCCACAAUUCCUUCUUCCCUGUGCAUUCAGUGUGGAGCCUAUGUCCCCUCCCUUGAAGCGAGGCUUUUCUCUUUGACUUGCCAUCACCAAUUAUAUGCUGCAGAAAUGGCCAGGGAGGCCCAGAUCUUAAGGGGACUGGAAGAUUUUUCUGGAAGCCAAGAGCAAAAAGUGAUUAAAGGAGGAAGGAGUAAUCAGUUGUGUCAAAUGCUGCUGAUAGCUCAAGUAGGAUGAGGACCAGGACUCAUCCUUGGAUGCAGCGGUGGGUGGCAGUCAUGACCUGGGUUACAGCAAUCUCUGUGGAGUGUUUGGAGCAAAGUCCUGAUUAAAGUGCACUCAAGGAAAAUGGGAAGAAAUGAGUACAAAUGAGUACAAGUAACUCAUCUCUUCCUGAAAAUCUAAGAGCAGCUGAAGGAAGGAUGAUGAUAUAUGGCAAGAGCAAUUUUUUAAGAUAGCAAAAAUAGUGUUAUCUAAAUCCCAAGUAAAUUGUAAGGUUUAACCUACAAUUUUAAAGACAGUAUGAUCUUAUUGUAAAAACAGGAUUUCUAAAAGUAAGGUUAAUGCUUGGCACAUAGUA